This 434-nucleotide ribosomal RNA is filed under the name uncultured Lachnospiraceae bacterium. RNAcentral's name for it is "partial 16S ribosomal RNA". It matches the Rfam family "Bacterial small subunit ribosomal RNA", at positions 341 to 792 of the family's 1533-position model. The record is from RNAcentral. Lineage: Bacteria; Bacillati; Bacillota; Clostridia; Lachnospirales; Lachnospiraceae.
ACGGAAGGCAGCAGUAGGGAAUAUUGGACAAUGGGGGCAACCCUGAUCCAGCGACGCCGCGUGAGUGAAGAAAUAUUUCGGUAUGUAAAGCUCUAUCAGCAGGGAAGAAAAUGACGGUACCUGACUAAGAAGCACCGGCUAAAUACGUGCCAGCAGCCGCGGUAAUACGCAUGGUGCAAGCGUUAUUCGGAUUUACUGGGUGUAAAGGGAGCGUAGACGGCAUAGCAAGUCUGAAGUGAAAUGCGGGGGCUCAACCCCUGAACUGCUUUGGAAACUGUUAAGCUAGAGUGUCGGAGAGGUAAGUGGAAUUCCUAGUGUAGCGGUGAAAUGCGUAGAUAUUAGGAGGAACACCAGUGGCGAAGGCGGCUUACUGGACGAUAACUGACGUUGGGGCUCGAAAGCGUGGGGAGCAAACAGGAUUAGAUACCCUGGUA